AGUAAUGUGUGGGGAUCUGCCUGAUGGGCGGGGGAUAACUACUGGAAACGGUAGCUAAUACCGCAUAAUGUCUACGGACCAAAGCGGGGGACCUCCGGGCCUCGCGCCAUCAGAUGAACCCAUAUGGGAUUAGCUAGUAGGUGAGGUAACGGCUUACCUAGGCGACGAUCCCUAGCUGGCCUGAGAGGAUGAUCAGCCACACUGGGACUGAGACACGGCCCAG
RNAcentral lists this ribosomal RNA (223 nucleotides) under uncultured bacterium. RNAcentral describes it as "partial 16S ribosomal RNA". It matches the Rfam family "Bacterial small subunit ribosomal RNA", at positions 109 to 334 of the family's 1533-position model. The record is from RNAcentral.